CUUUCAACUUUCUAUAUCAGGUUAAAUAUAAUUAACUAAUUCAGUUAAUUAAUAAUCUUUAUUACCGAUCAAAUAUUUUUUUUUCCUAUAAACUGAUAUUGCCAUUGUCAUUCAUUUUUUCUAUUUUUAUUACUUUCCUAUUUCACCCGCGUAGGUAUCUAACAAUCACUGAAAAUCUUGAUCUAACUUUUCUAUAUUAGUAUUCUAAUUUUAAUAUCCAAUUUAUUCUAACCCUUUUCAAAUUCCAAGCAUUUUGUAACCUAAAUUAAUUACUGUUUCGUAUUCAUUACAUCUAUUAACUAUAUAUUAAUCUCCAAUACUAUAGCUGAUGUGGCAAAACCUCAAUUUUUUAAAUUUUUUUGUUUUUUACUAGUGAAUUUGUCCCCUCAUCUACCCCCUAUAACUUAACCUCCUACAAUUUAAUUUUUUCUUUAGGUUAGUGGGAUAUUAUUACGAACGUUUCAUUUAAGCAGUUUUUAUUGUUAUAAUUUAGUAAGUGGCCUUUCAACUUUCUAUAUCAGGUUAAAUAUAAUUAACUAAUUCAGUUAAUUAAUAAUCUUUAUUACCGAUCAAAUAUUUUUUUUUCCUAUAAACUGAUAUUGCCAUUGUCAUUCAUUUUUUCUAUUUUUAUUACUUUCCUAUUUCACCCGCGUAGGUAUCUAACAAUCACUGAAAAUCUUGAUCUAACUUUUCUAUAUUAGUAUUCUAAUUUUAAUAUCCAAUUUAUUCUAACCCUUUUCAAAUUCCAAGCAUUUUGUAACCUAAAUUAAUUACUGUUUCGUAUUCAUUACAUCUAUUAACUAUAUAUUAAUCUCCAAUACUAUAGCUGAUGUGGCAAAACCUCAAUUUUUUAAAU
This 856-nucleotide long non-coding RNA is filed under the name Ananas comosus (pineapple). Its description in RNAcentral is "long non-coding RNA (ACOM_LNC020056)". Lineage: Eukaryota; Viridiplantae; Streptophyta; Magnoliopsida; Poales; Bromeliaceae. The record is from RNAcentral.